RNAcentral lists this ribosomal RNA (1163 nucleotides) under Escherichia coli. RNAcentral's name for it is "partial 23S ribosomal RNA". It matches the Rfam family "Bacterial large subunit ribosomal RNA", at positions 1088 to 2236 of the family's 2925-position model. Lineage: Bacteria; Pseudomonadati; Pseudomonadota; Gammaproteobacteria; Enterobacterales; Enterobacteriaceae. The record is from RNAcentral.
GACAGCCAGGAUGUUGGCUUAGAAGCAGCCAUCAUUUAAAGAAAGCGUAAUAGCUCACUGGUCGAGUCGGCCUGCGCGGAAGAUGUAACGGGGCUAAACCAUGCACCGAAGCUGCGGCAGCGACACUAUGUGUUGUUGGGUAGGGGAGCGUUCUGUAAGCCUGUGAAGGUGUACUGUGAGGUAUGCUGGAGGUAUCAGAAGUGCGAAUGCUGACAUAAGUAACGAUAAAGCGGGUGAAAAGCCCGCUCGCCGGAAGACCAAGGGUUCCUGUCCAACGUUAAUCGGGGCAGGGUGAGUCGACCCCUAAGGCGAGGCCGAAAGGCGUAGUCGAUGGGAAACAGGUUAAUAUUCCUGUACUUGGUGUUACUGCGAAGGGGGGACGGAGAAGGCUAUGUUGGCCGGGCGACGGUUGUCCCGGUUUAAGCGUGUAGGCUGGUUUUCCAGGCAAAUCCGGAAAAUCAAGGCUGAGGCGUGAUGACGAGGCACUACGGUGCUGAAGCAACAAAUGCCCUGCUUCCAGGAAAAGCCUCUAAGCAUCAGGUAACAUCAAAUCGUACCCCAAACCGACACAGGUGGUCAGGUAGAGAAUACCAAGGCGCUUGAGAGAACUCGGGUGAAGGAACUAGGCAAAAUGGUGCCGUAACUUCGGGAGAAGGCACGCUGAUAUGUAGGUGAAGUCCCUCGCGGAUGGAGCUGAAAUCAGUCGAAGAUACCAGCUGGCUGCAACUGUUUAUUAAAAACACAGCACUGUGCAAACACGAAAGUGGACGUAUACGGUGUGACGCCUGCCCGGUGCCGGAAGGUUAAUUGAUGGGGUCAGCGCAAGCGAAGCUCUUGAUCGAAGCCCCGGUAAACGGCGGCCGUAACUAUAACGGUCCUAAGGUAGCGAAAUUCCUUGUCGGGUAAGUUCCGACCUGCACGAAUGGCGUAAUGAUGGCCAGGCUGUCUCCACCCGAGACUCAGUGAAAUUGAACUCGCUGUGAAGAUGCAGUGUACCCGCGGCAAGACGGAAAGACCCCGUGAACCUUUACUAUAGCUUGACACUGAACAUUGAGCCUUGAUGUGUAGGAUAGGUGGGAGGCUUAGAAGUGUGGACGCCAGUCUGCAUGGAGCCGACCUUGAAAUACCACCCUUUAAUGUUUGAUGUUCUAACGUUGACCCGU